RNAcentral lists this transfer RNA (75 nucleotides) under Ameiurus melas (black bullhead). Its description in RNAcentral is "tRNA-Pro". Lineage: Eukaryota; Metazoa; Chordata; Actinopteri; Siluriformes; Ictaluridae. The record is from RNAcentral.
GGGCACCCCUGGUCUAGGGGUAUGAUUCUCACUUAGGGUGCGAGAGGUCCUUGAUUCAAAUCCGGGACGAGCCCA